UACGAAGGGGGCUAGCGUUGCUCGGAAUCUCUGGGCGUAAAGCGCACGUAGGCGGCUUUCUAAGUCAGGGGUGAAAUCCUGGAGCUCAACUCCAGAACUGCCUUUGAUACUGGAGAGCUUGAGUCCGGAAGAGGUGAGUGGAACUCCGAGUGUAGAGGUGAAAUUCGUAGAUAUUCGGAAGAACACCAGUGGCGAAGGCGGCUCACUGGUCCGGUACUGACGCUGAUGUGCGAAAGCGUGGGGAGCAAACAGG
RNAcentral lists this ribosomal RNA (253 nucleotides) under uncultured bacterium. Its description in RNAcentral is "partial 16S ribosomal RNA". It matches the Rfam family "Bacterial small subunit ribosomal RNA", at positions 524 to 776 of the family's 1533-position model. The record is from RNAcentral.